RNAcentral lists this ribosomal RNA (531 nucleotides) under uncultured bacterium. Its description in RNAcentral is "bacterial SSU rRNA". It matches the Rfam family "Bacterial small subunit ribosomal RNA", at positions 777 to 1304 of the family's 1533-position model. The record is from RNAcentral.
AAUAGAUACCCCGGGUAGUCCACGCCGUAAACGAUGAGUGCUAAGUGUUAGAGGGUUUCCGCCCUUUAGUGCUGCAGCUAACGCAUUAAGCACUCCGCCUGGGGAGUACGGUCGCAAGACUGAAACUCAAAGGAAUUGACGGGGGCCCGCACAAGCGGUGGAGCAUGUGGUUUAAUUCGAAGCAACGCGAAGAACCUUACCAGGUCUUGACAUCCUCUGACAACUCUAGAGAUAGAGCGUUCCCCUUCGGGGGGACAGAGUGACAGGUGGUGCAUGGUUGUCGUCAGCUCGUGUCGUGAGAUGUUGGGUUAAGUCCCGCAACGAGCGCAACCCUUGAUCUUAGUUGCCAGCAUUUAGUUGGGCACUCUAAGGUGACUGCCGGUGACAAACCGGAGGAAGGUGGGGAUGACGUCAAAUCAUCAUGCCCCUUAUGACCUGGGCUACACACGUGCUACAAUGGAUGGUACAAAGGGCUGCAAGACCGCGAGGUCAAGCCAAUCCCAUAAAACCAUUCUCAGUUCGGAUUGUAGG